RNAcentral lists this unclassified non-coding RNA (939 nucleotides) under uncultured Bradyrhizobium sp. RNAcentral's name for it is "partial 16S-23S ribosomal RNA intergenic spacer". The stretch from base 832 to 939 matches the Rfam family "Bacterial large subunit ribosomal RNA", at positions 1 to 112 of the family's 2925-position model. Lineage: Bacteria; Pseudomonadati; Pseudomonadota; Alphaproteobacteria; Hyphomicrobiales; Nitrobacteraceae. The record is from RNAcentral.
UGAAUAGAAACUUUCAAGGCGUCUGGCGAUCGACAUUGCUCGUGUGCUUUCUGUAGAGUGCAGGGCAUCGUGCCUUCUUCGCCGGUACCGGGGCUCCAAUCCGCCUGGGGAGUGCAAUUGCAUGUGCGCGGGUGGAAGAUGCCUGCCCGCAUUACCCUAAACCGGAUUAGGAUAGCGGUUGGGGAUUGUUGGUCUUUUAAAAAUUGGGUCAAGCUGAAAAUUGAAACCAGACAAAGGUUAUGUUUCCUCGGCCCUCCCCAAUUUUCCGUUGGCUUAACUAAACCUUGUUCUGGUGGAAGGUUAAACGAACUGUGCCCCGCCGGGGCUGGCCGGGGACGUCGGAGGCAAUGAGGAACUUCCUAUUCUGGAAAAAGGGCCCGGCAAGUUGUUAGGAAACUUGGCGCUUUGAAUGCCCAAUGGGGCAAAGCCCGGCCCGUCUGGCUCCACCAGAUGGUUUGAUCACCGAGAUCUUGACCGUCGUCCGCGAAACAUCACUUCGCAUUCACUAGACUGGAUAGACAGUGAACUGCGUGUUUUCUGACAUCGUAAAGAGGAGAUCGAUCCGAGUUGGGUCGUGCAGCAAUAUCGUUUGCGCGGGCCUUCAUUAUCUCCGGAUCAUUUCGGCGCUCGCUUUCAGCCGUGAGGUUGAAUGCGGGUUGUAAAUGAUCCUUUUAGCGAAGCUUGACGGCCUCGCUAUCGGAACGAUCUUACGAAGCAAGCUGGUCUUUCUAGUCAAUGUCCGGCUGUACGUAGCAUUCAUCGAGGGUGCGCGCCGCAAGGCAAUCGUACAGACAACAUUCUGCCGAGUGUGUGGACAUUGAUAAUGAGAGCAAUCAAGUGCCUUAGGGUGUUCGGUGGAUGCCUUGCGCUGAGAGGCGAUGACGACGUGCUACGCUGCGAUAGCCGUGGGAGCUGCGAAGAAGCUUUGAUCCGCGGAUU